GACGAACGCUGGCGGCGUGCUUAACACAUGCAAGUCGAACGGAAAGGCCCUGCUUGCAGGGUACUCGAGUGGCGAACGGGUGAGUAGCACGUGGGUGAUCUGCCCUGCACUUCGGGAUAAGCCUGGGAAACUGGGUCUAAUACCGGAUAGGAGCCAUUUUUAGUGUGAUGGUUGGAAAGUUUUUUCGGUGUAGGAUGAGCUCGCGGCCUAUCAGCUUGUUGGUGGGGUAAUGGCCUACCAAGGCGGCGACGGGUAGCCGGCCUGAGAGGGUGGACGGCCACAUUGGGACUGCGAUACGGCCCAGCCUCCUACGGGAGGCAGCAGUGGGGAGUAUUGCACAAUGGGCGCAAGCCUGAUGCAGCGACGCCGCGUGGGGGAUGACGGCCUUCGGGUUGUAAACUCCUUUCGCUAGGGACGAAGCUUUUGUGACGGUACCUAGAUAAGAAGCACCGGCUAACUACGUG
This 464-nucleotide ribosomal RNA is filed under the name uncultured bacterium. Its description in RNAcentral is "partial 16S ribosomal RNA". It matches the Rfam family "Bacterial small subunit ribosomal RNA", at positions 28 to 507 of the family's 1533-position model. The record is from RNAcentral.